Long non-coding RNA from Dermochelys coriacea (leatherback sea turtle), 1543 nucleotides. RefSeq lists it as uncharacterized. The transcript is spliced from 3 exons. NCBI's taxonomy places the organism in Eukaryota, Metazoa, Chordata, Testudines, Dermochelyidae. The record is from RefSeq and is a predicted model, not a curated record.
GCAACAUUUUAGUGUAGACAUUUACACAGUUAGGUCAACGUAAACUGCCUUGUGUUGACCUAACUCUGUAGUGUAGACCAGGGCUUAGCCUCCUAAAUCACUUAAGCAUGUUAGAAAAAUAUCACUACUGUCUUUCCACUUGCUCCAGAACUGACAAAGAUCUACAAUACAGCCAAUCUAUUGCAUAACUGAACGCCAUGAACAAAGUGUUUUUUAUUGUUUAUCUGAGCUGAAUUAGAGAUGAGGGAAAUACUAACAGCAAAAUUCAAAAUGCUUGAAAUUUGAGCAUAUGCCCCCUUUUGUUGCAAACUUAGUAUUAGUCCAGGUUUUCUAAAGUUUCUACACUAAUAUAGAACCAUUUCUGAGUGAAAUUGUUUUCACUGCAAAAACGAGGAAAAUUUCAUGAUUUUUCAUGUUUACGCACAGCUAAAUUACAAAAUGUGAAAAUGUAUAAUGUCAGUGUCAGGAAAACUGGUGAAACUAAAUUGUGGAUAAUUAUCCAAAAAUAUUUCCUUACUAUCAUGCAGUGGUAAUUAGAUGAUCGUUAGUUUUUAGUAAUAGCUAGGUCUUAUAACCUCUUUUUAGGCCAGGCAUUAGAGGGCAACAGUCCAUAUGUAAAACAGUACAUCCCACACUCCUCCCUAUUCAAAUAGGCCUACAUUUUUAUUAUUCUAUUUUCUUGAAUAAAAAAUGAGCAAGAGUAUCAUGUGUCCAACUCCAUAAUAACAGGUAUAUAAUCUCAGCAUGCUGUUUACCCCUGUGCUUACAUGAUCACAAUUGAAAAGCCAUUUGGGAAUCUUAUACAGGAUUGUAAGCUGUUCGGGGCAGAUACUGUCUCACGCUAUGUAUAUGUACAGGACUAGCAGAAUGGGGGGGGGCCUGAUCUUUGGUAAGACCUUUAGGCUUGACUGUAAUAUUAAUAAUUCUUAAAACAGAUUAACCAGCCAUCAUUAAGAAGAAUAAGCACAUUCAUUAGUUUUAUGAAAAUCGAAACUAUUGUAGUUUCACCUUGAAUCUUUGCUGUUUGCCAUGCAAACAAACUAAAGAUACAUCUUGCAUGUAAACAAUCUUGCAUGUAAAUUUUGUUAUAAAAAACUGUAUUUGGUUUUUGCUGCAGAAAUUGGGGAAAUUUCACCUCAGGGGCAUAUGCAGAAAUUUCCAGUCAGAAAGAAAUGAAUGGCAGAUUGUUGGCCCAAAACUGAAUUAAUAGAUUCUAAUUUUUGUAUAUCUAAUAUCUAUCUGAGGUGUCUGUAAUAAGUCUGGCUUUUUGGUACCAAAUCUAAGCCCUACGAAAGUGCAUAAUUAGAUUGUUUUAUCUUUCUCCACAUAAAGCUACUACUAUGACUCCAACUCAAAGUCUAAUACUGAACCACUGGGCAAGCAGGAAAACAAUGACGUACAGGCUGGGGUUUUAAAUGUUUUUUUUCCCUUUUAAACUAAAGGGGCCAAAUUCAUUUCUGAUGUAACUUCACUGAAUUAAAUCAAGUUACCUUGGGGCCAAAGGUGGUCCAAAGUUUUUAAUAGGCUGCCAAUGAUACCCUAU